RNAcentral lists this long non-coding RNA (248 nucleotides) under Elaeis guineensis (African oil palm). RNAcentral describes it as "long non-coding RNA (EGUI_LNC065518)". Lineage: Eukaryota; Viridiplantae; Streptophyta; Magnoliopsida; Arecales; Arecaceae. The record is from RNAcentral.
UCCAGACAUUGGGUACCAUUGCUAGAUGGUCACUUCGAUUAGUACAGGAAUUGGUUCCUGUGCUACCGGCUUAGGUUCGAACCUGUGGGGUCACACACAUUAGAGGUUCCUAUCUGAUCUGAUGGCUGGUGUAGAAUCCUACAUGUUUGAGACUCAGUGAUCGAGAAUCAGGAUUCGCUGAUCAUGAGUUCCACACAUUAUGGGUACCGGGGUCAAGAGUCCCACUGGUUGGGACUUUUCGAUCAGGG